AUCGCAGAGCAGGGGUGGUGGCAAGCACGGGAACGCUAAUAGAAGUAAGUGAUGAUGAUGACAUGGUGCAGGGCAAACGAUGGCCCACAGGCAAAGUCAGGCCCACUGCCUGUGUUUGCCAAUGAAGUUUUAUUGGAACACAGCUGCCCUCACUCAUUUACAUAUGGUCUGUGGCGGGUUUUGUGCUGCAAGGGCAGACUGGAGUAGUAGUUGCCUGGCUCACAAAGCUGAAAAUAUUUAUGAUCUGGCCUUGUAUAGAAAAAGUUUGGGGAAUAUUACAAAGGUCUCGAGAAGAGGAAAAAUGAGGCAAGAAAAAGCUAGUACUAGAUCCACGCUAUUGGGAUUUGACUCUGGUUCCAUCAUUGCCUGACUAUGUGCCUUUGAGCAACUCAACUUUUCUGACCUCAACUAUCUCACCUGGUCACGGGGAUAUGAGUUCUUCUAUCAUCAGUUUGCUGUGAGGAUUACACGAAAUGCUCUGCGUAAAGUGCUGGCACAGUGCCUGACAUAAAGCCAGGGCUCGAGACAUGUCAUAGGCCAUCAUUACCUGCAGCCAUAAAGAUGAUGGUUUUUUGGUUAAAGUAUUGUUGGCUGAGGUAGAAAGAUUUUGUGUGUGCCGUGAAACCCUGUGGUUCGACGCUAGUGCUUUGUCCCCUGGGACAUUCUCAUUGUAAUCCAUGGUGAUGCAGCUGGAAUAGCCCAGCAGUUUUGAUGUGAUUGAGGACCUCCCCAUUGCCUCUCCAGUGACUCACAGCUCCACAUCACAACCAAAGUCUCACACAUUUUCCUCUUUGUCAAGACCCUCACCGUUUUCCCACAGUCAAGUGUGUUCUCUCACUCAAUCACUCAUUCACUUGUGUCUGCUUAGAAUUUCUGGAUUUUCUCAGGAGACAUUAGCUGUGGGGACCGCAUUGCUAGGCAGCUGCCACUUCAUCUCUCCUUUUCUCAUCCCAGGUCACUCUUCAUCAUCUAGUGCAUAACAUGGGAUGGCGUUGGCAGAAGAAACCUUUUCAGAAAUAAAUCUGAAAUCAGUGAAAAUACUUGUGGCUGCAAAUCAGAGAAAAUCCAACUAAAUUUGGCUAAAAGAAGGGAAACCAGCUGUUAUUUUGUGAGCUACCCAUGUGACAAGGAGCUGACGUCUCCAGCCAAUAAUUAGUGAGCACCUGCGGCCACCAACAGCCAAGUGAGUGAUCUUGAAAGUGGGUCCUUCCUAAAUGAGGCUUGAGAUGACUGCGGCGUGUGGGACCCUGAGCCGAGGACCCGCCUUAGCUGGACCUGGAUUCCUGACCCACAGAAACUGUGAGGAACUACCUUUCCCAGACUCCCUCACCCGCCAGCUUCUUGCUGGGUUUGGCUAAUGGAAGGCACUGGCAGAAGGUGGGGAGUGGGGGACCAUGAAGAGCCUGGAGUUUUUCAAUCCUUCUCUGCCCAGCUCCGCCUGGCUUCUGAGUUCUGGUAACACCGUCUUCUCCCUGUCCCUCCAGCCCUAGGCUUGGUAGCACCUUCUUGCUGGUGCUGCUUUCCCAGUGGACUCCUUCCUUCCUGUCCCAUGUAGCUCCUCAGCUCUGCCAUUUCUUCUGUAACUGAUUCUUUGUAUUAGAUUUCCUCAGACGGAAGCACCUAGAGUGGUGUCU
Molecule: long non-coding RNA, 1634 nt
Organism: Ailuropoda melanoleuca (giant panda)
Lineage: Eukaryota; Metazoa; Chordata; Mammalia; Carnivora; Ursidae
Exons: 3
Source: RefSeq, a predicted model, not a curated record